Protopterus annectens (West African lungfish) is the source of this 1648-nucleotide long non-coding RNA. RefSeq lists it as uncharacterized. The transcript is spliced from 2 exons. Lineage: Eukaryota; Metazoa; Chordata; Ceratodontiformes; Protopteridae. The record is from RefSeq and is a predicted model, not a curated record.
GUGCAGGAAUGAGAAAAAAGAAAUAAAUUUAAAGGAGAAGGUAAAAGAAAAAAGACAUGAAAAAAAGAAGCAGUACCAGAUUGAAGCUGAGAAAGAAGAAAAAGAUAGGAUGGCACUGGAACUAUACGAACAGUGGUUGGUUAAAAAAGAAGAGCAGGAAAAGCAGGAAAAGAAACAAAGAAGGCUGAAAUUAAUUUUACAAGAUGAACCUCCACCUCCUUGGAGCCCUCCAAGCAAAACCGUGCCAUACAAAAGAUAAACCAAAGACAUCUCUUAUUUUAUUAUUUAGUGUUGCUUUCUUUUUGCCUUUACUUGAAUUAAGGAUAAGUGUUCAAUAGAUGUUUUUAAUACUUUGGUUUUCAGACUGUUCACCAUUUAUGUACUCCACAUCUUUUAAAGUAAUUUCAUUGCACCCAGUGCUGUUUUAUUCUUCAGAAACUACAUGUUGUAUAAAUUGGGCCCUUGCCAGCUUAUUGAAAAGCAAUAUACUGAAAGUUAUAUUAAUGAAUGUACAAUGCUGAAAUGUUAAAAUGUUGAAAUUGAAAUACCUACUUCCUUACAUGGGAAGAGAGAGAGAGAGAGCUGGACACCCCUCCCUCUCCAUGCAGGACCUAUGUUAGCCUAGCUCUUAUUUCUGAGUUUCAGUCAUGAGCGGACAGGUGAUCUGCUGUGGUGACCCCUAACCUUGAAAAGCCGAAAGAAGAGAAGAAGACUAACAGAUUUGUGUUAACUGUUUGUUAACUUACUGUGUUCUGGUGAAGUGUAAUUGUGUAUAUAUGUAUGCUGUUCGUAGACAUUUUUAGUUAAUAUUAUAAAGUUUCAGCAUUUUGACAGUUCAGUACAUUGCAUUCAGUAGUAUGUUCUUUAAUAAUACACUAUGCAGUAAGUUGUCAUGUACCCAUAUAAAUAAUAUGUGCAGCUUUUUCUCAGUACAAGUUUCAAUUAAAGAUUUUAUACACUUUUGGGAAGCUGAAGUACUGCACCAUUAAAUUGCUAUGCAAUGGAAUAAUGUGCUCUGUGCAUACUUUGUAUUUUAAGACUGGAAAUUAUGUUAAUAAGUGUUGUAAAUUAAGGUUGGAUUACAUUGUUUAGCCGUAUCCCUAUCAGUUGAUCUAGUUUUCAGAAAUUCAAAAUUCACUCUAAGCUUUUGAAUGGAGAUUGUGGUACUGUGAGGAUCAGGUCAUUUACCACUUUCCUUACUGUAGUGCGAUCUCAGAGUUGGUAUAUAUAAUUUGCAGGGGUGUGGGGGUGCAGGGGGACUUGACUCCCUGCAAAAACAUAAAAAAAGAUAGAUUUUUGUGUUUUUUUUCUUGAUGUUCGAGUUUUUUGGAAUUUCGAUCAUAUCGUUGCAACCAUAUGAAUUUCGAGAUUCUGAAGACUUGAUCAACUGACAAUUCUGUUUAGCUGUCUUAUUUGCCAUGCCCUCAUUCUGUAAGUUGAAAUGUACAAACUGUGCUGUAUGGCUAUGUAAAAUGUAGUUAGAUUAUAAAAUAUAGUUAGAUUAUAAAAAUAUGAAAGCCAUGGGGUGAAAAACCUGAAUAAAAUCAUUGUAGAACAGUUUCCAUUUGCUGUCUAAGAACAGAACUUGCAGUACUGUAAUUAAACUCUGUGUACUGUGCUACUGUAUUCAGUGGCCUGAUUUCCACAA